Molecule: ribosomal RNA, 465 nt
Filed under: uncultured bacterium
Lineage: Bacteria
Description: partial 16S ribosomal RNA
Rfam family: Bacterial small subunit ribosomal RNA
Source: RNAcentral
GACGAACGCGGGCGGCGUGCUUAACACAUGCAAGUCGUACGGUAAGGCCCUUUCGGGGGUACACGAGUGGCGAACGGGUGAGUAACACGUGAGUAACCUGCCCACAACUUUGGGAUAACGCUAGGAAACUGGUGCUAAUACUGGAUAUGUGCUCCUGCUGCAUGGUGGGGGUUGGAAAGCUCCGGCGGUUGUGGAUGGACUUGCGGCCUAUCAGCUUGUUGGUGGGGUAGUGGCCUACCAAGGCGGCGACGGGUAGCCGGCCUGAGAGGGUGACCGGCCACAUUGGGACUGAGAUACGGCCCAGACUCCUACGGGAGGCAGCAGUGGGGAAUAUUGCACAAUGGGCGCAAGCCUGAUGCAGCAACGCCGCGUGCGGGAUGACGGCCUUCGGGUUGUAAACCGCUUUCAGCAGGGACGAAGCUUUUUGUGACGGUACCUGCAGAAGAAGCACCGGCUAACUACGUG